UUAUUUAAUAAUAGAUGUUCAUAGA
RNAcentral lists this non-coding RNA (25 nucleotides) under Rattus norvegicus (Norway rat). Lineage: Eukaryota; Metazoa; Chordata; Mammalia; Rodentia; Muridae. The record is from RNAcentral.